Long non-coding RNA from Pipistrellus kuhlii (Kuhl's pipistrelle), 795 nucleotides. RefSeq lists it as uncharacterized. Lineage: Eukaryota; Metazoa; Chordata; Mammalia; Chiroptera; Vespertilionidae. The record is from RefSeq and is a predicted model, not a curated record. The transcript has 3 exons.
GGCCUCGGAGGAGCCGUGCCCGCGGACCUCCCGAGCGCGGAUGCGGAAGGCGCUGGGGCUGGGAGGGGUCAGCCCCGCCCCGCCCCGCCCGGGACACGCGCUCACUCCCGCGGCGGACCCGGAACUGGUGCCAUCCGCGGGCCCUGCCCUGCCCUGCCCAGCCCAGCCCAGCCCAGAGAGAGUGCAGUGAGUGAACCUGAAAUGGAAAGCCGGUGCUGCUGCGUGUGGGACCUGGAGCAAGUCGCUGCACCUGAGCCCCGAUCUCUUUAAAAAGCCUUGGGCCAUGGCCAGUAUGCUUCAAUGGUACCUGGGAGAACUUGCAGCUGCCUCCUGCUGGACCAGAAGUAUUUGUAUCCUGACCAUCUGUGGGGUCUUGCUCAGAGUUAUAUGAAAGCCUCUCACAUGUGGGCCAGCUGUUGGAGUUUUUAUAUGCCUAUUUGGGAGAAUUCAUGUUUAGUUUAUUAAGCUGGCCAGCCAACCGCCCACCAGGCCUGGGAUGGUCUCUGCAAUGUGUGUAAGGCUGACCUUUCAGACUCAAAGAAUCAUCACCUCUUCCUCCUCCUUGGAGUAUUCUCUGACAAUCCCCUCAAAAGCUGUGUGGGGCCUGCUGAAUGUUCCCAUGGGAACCCCUGUACUGAAUACAUCUUAUCAAGUCACCUUUUCACUUCCAGCAGAGGAUCCAAGGGAAGACUCCAAGGUGGAAAAAGUCUGAAGCCCCAUCUAGGACAGUCCACUGAAAACAUCCAAUCAGAUAUGUCUCGGAGAAAAUAAACCAGUUUUGUAGUAAGCCACUAA